Molecule: ribosomal RNA, 2235 nt
Filed under: Triticum aestivum (bread wheat)
Lineage: Eukaryota; Viridiplantae; Streptophyta; Magnoliopsida; Poales; Poaceae
Description: partial small subunit ribosomal RNA
Source: RNAcentral
AUGAAGGCUCUGAAGAAGGGAGGGCACAUUUCCUUUUCAAAAUCAGUGAAGCCCUCCUCCAGUGUCCCAGCAAUGCACAAACGUUCUAAGAGUUACUCUGAGCCUCGUUUUCAUUGCUGCUAUGUUCUUCCCAGUUACUACCAUCUGAAUGAAAGGACCACAGAAUAUUGCAUCUUCCAGGAUGCACAACCUUCGAUCAACACCCUUGUUGCCAAGAUCAAGAGGAUCAGCAAUCUAAGCAUCCUGCAGCGAGCAGCACCGGUGUUGCAAGGCAAGCCAGAGGAAGAAGCGACAUCUCGGAGGCACACGAGCCUCCGAGAGGAUCUUGUGGCAGGGUCGGCUGAUAAUCUUGGUGCGUCCGCCGUCUAUGUUGCCCGCCACGUGUCCUCAAACACGAAGGCAAGUGACUACUCAGGGCUGCCCGUCGUCCUAACAUUGUCGUGCUUGAGCCGCCAGGUGAGCAACCAAAUACGCCAUUCUCCCUCGAUGAUGUUUGUGAGCACGCUGACAAGAGCAACGACCGCAUUGAAGACUCUCCUAUCCCGUUAUUUCCAUAAGCAGUGCAAUAAGUUGCCACCGUCCACCAUUCUACCAACAUGUCAUGUUGUGCUGGGUAGUGGCACUCCAAUCCUUUUGAUCGAAGAACUUCAAACAGAUGGACUUCACGAACUCAGGCUCUUGCAAGCAAAGUGGACAUCAGGGCUGACGAGGCAGCCCCCUUCGCCGCAGCCUGUCAGAGGUCGAACAACGGUUGCGAAGAACAAGCCAACUGAAGAACUUGACGCCCCCUUCCGCGUAAAACUUGACCACACACUAGACGCGCCCCUCAUAGUCUAUGUCGUGGACAAACUUCUUGGCAAUCUUCUGCAUAACCGCAUUUGCGUGAUCUUGGAAAUGAUAAGCGCAAGGACCGGACCGCAGCGACAAAAGCCCGAGCCGGACCGAGCGGCUCGUUUGGACCGGCCGGUGGUCACCCCAGAGCUCGCGCCGGAGCACGGCGACGCAGGGAGGGCGCUGGAGGCAGCGGGGCUCGUCGUGGAGGUGUCCGGCGACUUCUGUGACUCAGGGUGGACGGCACGACGGCCAGGCAGAGCUCCGGCAGCAACAAUGACGAAGAAUCUGGCACGACGGCCGGUGCAUGACGGCCAGUGUGCAGCGGCGACAUGCUUGCCAGCGUUAGGGAGGCCGGUGGCCGCGCGGAUGAACGACGGCGGCGCUGACCAGCGCACGACCGACGUGCCCGCCACGCAGCUCCGGCCACGCGCCUGCCAUGACGUCAACACGCCCCCGACACACCCCUGCCACGCCCUCGGCACGCCCCCGCCACGCCCCGACGUGCCCCUGCCACGCUUCCGCCAUGCCACAGCUCGUGUCGACGCACAAAGACACGGUGAUCUCGAUCUCACGAAUCACGAUGAAGGCCCGCACCACCCCGCUCGCGUGCCCCGGCCUGACGGCGUUCGCCCUACGCCUCAUCAGCGAGCUCUCCUCAAGGUCGUCCGCGGCCUGUCGGAGCAGGCCCUCGCCGACCGCACGCCGGGGGGCGGGCCGCGCGUCUCCUUCGCGUGCGGCGUGUGGCACGACGAGACCCGGAAGCUCAGGCCAUCCUUCCGCGAAGCCGCCGCCCAGUCCUACAAGGCGGAAACCCGCGCCGUCGACUUCCACGGAAAGCCAGGAGAAGCCGUGAAGCAGAUCAACGCCUGGGCGGCGGCGGCGACGAACAACCUCAUCGACUCGGUGCUCACCGAGCAGCAGGUGUCCACCGAGACGGACGUCGUCGUCGCCAACGCCGUCUACUUCAAGGCCACGUGGCGCUCCCCCUUCCGCGAGCACUACACCGAGGACGACAAGUUCUACCGUCUCGACGGCACCACCUUGGACGUCGCCUUCAUGCAGAGCGGCAAGAAGCAGUACAUUGCCUGCCACCAAGGCUUCAAGGUGCUCAAGCUCGACUACAGGCAAGGGCACGUGUGGUCUUCGCCGCCGGCGUCGUUCUCCAUGUGCAUCUUCCUCCCGGACGAGCGCGACGGGCUCCGGGGCUUGGUCCAGAGGAUGGCGUCCAGCCCGAACUUCAUGCGCGCGCACCUUCCGACGAGUCUCGUCUCGGUCGGCGACUUCAAGCUGCCCAGAUUCAAGCUCACCUUUUCGGCCGACAUGUCUGGCAUUCUCAGUGGCGGAGACAGGGGGGACCAGCACGGGCCCUGGCCCCCCCUAAUACCAGGAUUUUGCAUGUAA